CUUAUCCUCUGACACCUUUGGACCGAGGAAGAAAAAGCCAAUGGGCAAAGGAGCAAACCUGCCAUAUAAUAAGCACUGAACCAAGGAAAUGUUCACUCACAAUCUUGACUCUUCAGCGACACAAAUGGUUUGUGGCCAAAGUUCAGACUGCUUAAAUUACGUGCCAUCACCCAUACUCACCAGCACUCUGAGAAACAACAAGCCGCUCAGUGAUGGUAAACAACACUCACGAGGAAACCACUUCAAAAGCUCAGGUUGGACAUAGAACCUUGGCAAACAAAUGGAUUGAUAUUGAGGUUCCAACUGAGGAAGCUGGGACACAUCUCAAACGCAACCUCCUUUCAAGUCCUGAGUGGAGGACCACCCCAUUUCACAGUGACUCAUCUUUUGGACGAAUCUCCAGAUCUGUUGUGGAAGAGUACUGGUCAUGUUUUGUUACAAGAGGGACAUAACGUUUUAGAGAAACUAAGAGAGGUAGUAGAAAGUAUAUGUGUGUUCCAUUUCUUUAAAAAUUGCAUAAAAAUGCAUUAGCUCAUCCUUCUAUGUUCAGAAUGCAGAGAUUUGGCUGUUUGCUAACCUUAGUUUCAACUGAUGCAAACUUAUUCUAAUACAAACUCUCAAUGUCAUUUUUUCAGAGAACUCUGGCAUUCUUCAAUAACAUCACU
Molecule: long non-coding RNA, 665 nt
Organism: Prionailurus viverrinus (fishing cat)
Lineage: Eukaryota; Metazoa; Chordata; Mammalia; Carnivora; Felidae
Exons: 5
Source: RefSeq, a predicted model, not a curated record